RNAcentral lists this ribosomal RNA (2759 nucleotides) under Salmonella enterica subsp. enterica serovar Typhimurium var. 5-. Its description in RNAcentral is "bacterial LSU rRNA". It matches the Rfam family "Bacterial large subunit ribosomal RNA". The record is from RNAcentral. Lineage: Bacteria; Pseudomonadati; Pseudomonadota; Gammaproteobacteria; Enterobacterales; Enterobacteriaceae.
CGAAUGGGGAAACCCAGUGUGAUUCGUCACACUAUCAUUAACUGAAUCCAUAGGUUAAUGAGGCGAACCGGGGGAACUGAAACAUCUAAGUACCCCGAGGAAAAGAAAUCAACCGAGAUUCCCCCAGUAGCGGCGAGCGAACGGGGAGGAGCCCAGAGCCUGAAUCAGCAUGUGUGUUAGUGGAAGCGUCUGGAAAGGUGCGCGAUACAGGGUGACAGCCCCGUACACAAAAGCGCAUGUGCUGUGAGCUCGAUGAGUAGGGCGGGACACGUGAUAUCCUGUCUGAAUAUGGGGGGACCAUCCUCCAAGGCUAAAUACUCCUGACUGACCGAUAGUGAACCAGUACCGUGAGGGAAAGGCGAAAAGAACCCCGGCGAGGGGAGUGAAAAAGAACCUGAAACCGUGUACGUACAAGCAGUGGGAGCACAGGUUUACCUGUGUGACUGCGUACCUUUUGUAUAAUGGGUCAGCGACUUAUAUUCUGUAGCAAGGUUAACCGUAUAGGGGAGCCGGAGGGAAACCGAGUCUUAACCGGGCGUUAAGUUGCAGGGUAUAGACCCGAAACCCGGUGAUCUAGCCAUGGGCAGGUUGAAGGUUGGGUAACACUAACUGGAGGACCGAACCGACUAAUGUUGAAAAAUUAGCGGAUGACCUGUGGCUGGGGGUGAAAGGCCAAUCAAACCGGGAGAUAGCUGGUUCUCCCCGAAAGCUAUUUAGGUAGCGCCUCGUGAAUUCAUCUCCGGGGGUAGAGCACUGUUUCGGCUAGGGGGCCAUCCCGGCUUACCAACCCGAUGCAAACUGCGAAUACCGGAGAAUGUUAUCACGGGAGACACACGGCGGGUGCUAACGUCCGUCGUGAAGAGGGAAACAACCCAGACCGCCAGCUAAGGUCCCAAAGUCAUGGUUAAGUGGGAAACGAUGUGGGAAGGCCCAGACAGCCAGGAUGUUGGCUUAGAAGCAGCCAUCAUUUAAAGAAAGCGUAAUAGCUCACUGGUCGAGUCGGCCUGCGCGGAAGAUGUAACGGGGCUAAACCAUGCACCGAAGCUGCGGCAGCGAACGUAUCACCCAAGACAACUUUACGGAGUUGACGAUUGACGGAGCGAAGCGACGUCAAAGCGUUCAUUAAAGUCGAGUUGGCUUAGGGAUACGUUCGUUGGGUAGGGGAGCGUUCUGUAAGCCUGUGAAGGUGUGUCGUGAGGCAUGCUGGAGGUAUCAGAAGUGCGAAUGCUGACAUAAGUAACGAUAAAGCGGGUGAAAAGCCCGCUCGCCGGAAGACCAAGGGUUCCUGUCCAACGUUAAUCGGGGCAGGGUGAGUCGACCCCUAAGGCGAGGCCGAAAGGCGUAGUCGAUGGGAAACGGGUUAAUAUUCCCGUACUUGGUGUUACUGCGAAGGGGGGACGGAGAAGGCUAUGUUGGCCGGGCGACGGUUGUCCCGGUUUAAGCGUGUAGGUGUGUGUUCCAGGUAAAUCCGGUUCACUUUAACACUGAGGCGUGACGACGAGGCACUACGGUGCUGAAGCAACAAAUGCCCUGCUUCCAGGAAAAGCCUCUAAGCAUCAGGUAACACGAAAUCGUACCCCAAACCGACACAGGUGGUCAGGUAGAGAAUACCAAGGCGCUUGAGAGAACUCGGGUGAAGGAACUAGGCAAAAUGGUGCCGUAACUUCGGGAGAAGGCACGCUGACACGUAGGUGAAGUGAUUUACUCAUGGAGCUGAAGUCAGUCGAAGAUACCAGCUGGCUGCAACUGUUUAUUAAAAACACAGCACUGUGCAAACACGAAAGUGGACGUAUACGGUGUGACGCCUGCCCGGUGCCGGAAGGUUAAUUGAUGGGGUCAGCGCAAGCGAAGCUCCUGAUCGAAGCCCCGGUAAACGGCGGCCGUAACUAUAACGGUCCUAAGGUAGCGAAAUUCCUUGUCGGGUAAGUUCCGACCUGCACGAAUGGCGUAAUGAUGGCCAGGCUGUCUCCACCCGAGACUCAGUGAAAUUGAACUCGCUGUGAAGAUGCAGUGUACCCGCGGCAAGACGGAAAGACCCCGUGAACCUUUACUAUAGCUUGACACUGAACAUUGAGCCUUGAUGUGUAGGAUAGGUGGGAGGCUUUGAAGUGUGGACGCCAGUCUGCAUGGAGCCGACCUUGAAAUACCACCCUUUAAUGUUUGAUGUUCUAACGUGGACCCGUAAUCCGGGUUGCGGACAGUGUCUGGUGGGUAGUUUGACUGGGGCGGUCUCCUCCUAAAGAGUAACGGAGGAGCACGAAGGUUGGCUAAUCCUGGUCGGACAUCAGGAGGUUAGUGCAAUGGCAUAAGCCAGCUUGACUGCGAGCGUGACGGCGCGAGCAGGUGCGAAAGCAGGUCAUAGUGAUCCGGUGGUUCUGAAUGGAAGGGCCAUCGCUCAACGGAUAAAAGGUACUCCGGGGAUAACAGGCUGAUACCGCCCAAGAGUUCAUAUCGACGGCGGUGUUUGGCACCUCGAUGUCGGCUCAUCACAUCCUGGGGCUGAAGUAGGUCCCAAGGGUAUGGCUGUUCGCCAUUUAAAGUGGUACGCGAGCUGGGUUUAGAACGUCGUGAGACAGUUCGGUCCCUAUCUGCCGUGGGCGCUGGAGAACUGAGGGGGGCUGCUCCUAGUACGAGAGGACCGGAGUGGACGCAUCACUGGUGUUCGGGUUGUCAUGCCAAUGGCACUGCCCGGUAGCUAAAUGCGGAAGAGAUAAGUGCUGAAAGCAUCUAAGCACGAAACUUGCCCCGAGAUGAGUUCU